AUUCCUCUGUAAGGAGACCAUUUUCCCCUCCAGUUCAUUGGAAACAAGUCUUCUACUCCCAUCUGUGCCCAUAAAGCAAACUGGACUGCUGCUUGGGUGGGAGACCUACAGAGCAUUAUGGUUGCUAUCGGCGGUGGAACUAAAGGUGGCAUUUUUAUUCCUUGAAUCAACAGUCAGCCAACACCCUCACCUGGUAUUCAAGGUUGCGUGAGGAUGCUGGUGCCCUCUGCGAGGCCUGGAAUUAACGGUGAGAGUUUCUCAUGCACCUUUCCUGCAUUGUUUGAACAUGUCAUAGAAAUCUCGGAUUCAAUCUACUUUACUUUCCUGGAAGAGAAAGUCUGAGCUAAAUCCUGCAGUGUGUUGACUGUCUUUAACUCCUGCUGUCAAAUGGAGAUCCCAAAGGAAGAGUUGGUGAAGAAGAAUAAGAAGAAUGUGCCACCUCUGGAGCCCCUGGAGCUGAGGAAUUACUUUUGGAGCAACCUGCAGAAUACGCUGAGCACUGUUAAGAGCAUGGAGCAGAAGAGAGAAAAAUCGAGGCAUUUAAAGCAGAUGAUGGAUCGAUGCAGAUGGGGAACUGUUGGACCUGUCUGUUCUCCACGAAAGCCAAGUUUUCUCCCAGCAUCUCUGGGAAAAUUCACUUAG
RNAcentral lists this long non-coding RNA (642 nucleotides) under Coturnix japonica (Japanese quail). RNAcentral describes it as "lncRNA (ENSCJPG00005013074.1)". Lineage: Eukaryota; Metazoa; Chordata; Aves; Galliformes; Phasianidae. The record is from RNAcentral.